RNAcentral lists this long non-coding RNA (246 nucleotides) under Lathyrus oleraceus (garden pea). RNAcentral describes it as "Pisum sativum (pea) long non-coding RNA (PSAT_LNC020921)". Lineage: Eukaryota; Viridiplantae; Streptophyta; Magnoliopsida; Fabales; Fabaceae. The record is from RNAcentral.
AAAAGCAAAAGAAAAGGACGCUAAGUCAAAAUCUUGGAAACAAGAUUGACUUAGGAAAAAGUUAGGGAAUCCCGAUGGACUGCAAACCCAAAGGAUCAGUCCAGGCAAAAAUAAGGGAAAACAAAAUAAAAGAAAAAGAUAGAAUCAAUAACAAAUUCCUCAGUAAGAGAAAAUCCAUGUGGUCGCAAACAAAAGUAGAAGGUGAGUGGCUAUCACUCCAAAAACUCAUUGGGUUCCAUGACCAUC